CACAAAACAACUUUGGUGGAGCGAGUUCAAAGGUUGGUGAGGCGAACUAAAGGUCGGAGAAAAAAGCAAAGGAGAUUUGAGGGGGAGCAAAGCUUUUGUGGCAGACGAAGAUGACUUGAUGUAUUCUUAGUUUAUUUACCUUCUUGGAUGGAUGA
This is a long non-coding RNA of Zingiber officinale, 155 nucleotides long. RefSeq lists it as uncharacterized. The transcript has 3 exons. The record is from RefSeq and is a predicted model, not a curated record. NCBI's taxonomy places the organism in Eukaryota, Viridiplantae, Streptophyta, Magnoliopsida, Zingiberales, Zingiberaceae.